UACGUAGGGUGCAAGCGUUAAUCGGAAUUACUGGGCGUAAAGCGUGCGCAGGCGGUUCUAUAAGACAGAUGUGAAAUCCCCGGGCUCAACCUGGGAAUGGCCGUUGAAACUGGCGAACUGGAGUGUGGCAGAGGGGGGUGGAAUUCCGCGUGUAGCAGUGAAAUGCGUAGAGAUGCGGAGGAACACCGAUGGCGAAGGCAGCCCCCUGGGCUGACACUGACGCUCAGGCACGAAAGCGUGGGGAGCAAACAGG
RNAcentral lists this ribosomal RNA (253 nucleotides) under uncultured bacterium. Its description in RNAcentral is "partial 16S ribosomal RNA". It matches the Rfam family "Bacterial small subunit ribosomal RNA", at positions 524 to 776 of the family's 1533-position model. The record is from RNAcentral.